AACAUAUAAAUGCAGUACAAGUGAAAACAGUUUUAGGAGUAGUGGCCAUUUUCUGUCACAUGUUUCCGGGGGAGCUGUUUACUUGAUUGCUUGUAUUUGUCAAUCCUUUGGACAGGGUAUCCGAACUGGGCUAUUAUGGAAGCUCUAGGGGAAAAUUUCAAUAUCUUACAUUUGACAUUAUACCCAGUGUUGAAGUGCUAUUAUGACUACACUUUUUACUUUCAUAACAUUAACGGUACAUUCCUUAAAUAAAGGUACAGUUUAGGACAAGACAUGUCUGAGGUACACCUCAUCUUUUGAUGUAAUAACUUCAGUACUUACACUACUACUCUGCUAUACAAGGUACGUAUGGCAAGUUAAUACUUAGUGAUGCAGUAGUACAACUGCAGUACAUUAUGUAAUGUAGAACAACUGUCUUAGUAACAUGUUUAAACAAUAUGUAUGAUUUGGAGAUGAUAAACCAUUGCUGAAUCAAAUGCUGACAUUUUUGGUGCCUCAUCUCUUACUAGGUGAACCUGCAAAAAUGAGUUCUAAACAUACAAGUACAGAAGAACAGGUGUUUCUCAUGUCAGACUUGGGAAACGCUGAGUUACAAAUGAAAACUGAAGAGCUGGGAACUACAGACGUGUGAGAAAUCUGAAGUGGAAUCGUUUCACUCUGAAGAAGUGAGGAAAGCUAUCGGUGAAUUUGAGGAAAACACAAAAUCCAAUUUCAUUGUGGAACAGAACAAACACUUUUCAAAUGUAAGGAGAUGAACACACUAUCUUACAACAAAGACAGCUUAUUUAGCAUACACAAAAGAUGAAUUGUCCAGCAAAAACCCUUAUCGUGUUAUGUCUUUUCUGUAUUAUAAGAUAUGCUCAGCUCAAUGCCCAAGGAUAUGAGAAAUAUCGUGAAUACAGUGAGGAGAUAUCAGCAUUUUUGAAGAAUCACUCAUGAGACUUUGUUUUACAUGUAAUGCAGAGGUACUUUAGUACUCUGGACAAUACCCAUAUAACAUCUGUAAAUGAUCAAAGUGGAAUGUUCAAAAUAAAAAAGUGAGUCUCAUAAUGAAAAAACAUAUACGGUUGAUUUGUGCAGUGAGUCACCAUCAUGCAGUUGUGAAGAUUGGAGAAGAUUCCUCAUGCCAUACAAG
Molecule: long non-coding RNA, 1135 nt
Organism: Protopterus annectens (West African lungfish)
Lineage: Eukaryota; Metazoa; Chordata; Ceratodontiformes; Protopteridae
Exons: 4
Source: RefSeq, a predicted model, not a curated record